UACGGGUUCUUUUUUGAUAUCUUUGAAUUUGGAUUAUAUUGUACUUUUUAUUAUUAUUUUGAAUUGUCUUUAACAAUUUUUUAGGAGUGGAAUUUGUUUAAAUUUAAAUUACAAAAAGUUUGUAUUUUUUUUAUUUAAAAAAAUGUAAUUAAAUGAGCUAGUGAGCCAACCCGUUUACCCACCAACCCGUGGUGGAUCGGGCCGGG
RNAcentral lists this long non-coding RNA (206 nucleotides) under Vigna radiata. RNAcentral's name for it is "long non-coding RNA (VRAD_LNC005653)". Lineage: Eukaryota; Viridiplantae; Streptophyta; Magnoliopsida; Fabales; Fabaceae. The record is from RNAcentral.